UACGAAGGGGACUAGCGUUGUUCGGAAUCACUGGGCGUAAAGCGCACGUAGGCGGAUUUGUAAGUCAGGGGUGAAAUCCCGGGGCUCAACCUCGGAACUGCCUUUGAUACUGCGAAUCUAGAGUCCGAUAGAGGUGGGUGGAAUUCCUAGUGUAGAGGUGAAAUUCGUAGAUAUUAGGAAGAACACCGGUGGCGAGGGCGGCCCACUGGAUCGGUACUGACGCUGAGGUGCGAAAGCGUGGGGAGCAAACAGG
RNAcentral lists this ribosomal RNA (253 nucleotides) under uncultured bacterium. Its description in RNAcentral is "partial 16S ribosomal RNA". It matches the Rfam family "Bacterial small subunit ribosomal RNA", at positions 524 to 776 of the family's 1533-position model. The record is from RNAcentral.